Molecule: long non-coding RNA, 1414 nt
Organism: Sinocyclocheilus rhinocerous
Lineage: Eukaryota; Metazoa; Chordata; Actinopteri; Cypriniformes; Cyprinidae
Exons: 9
Source: RefSeq, a predicted model, not a curated record
GGGCAUACAACUGGAGAACAAGUGUAUAACUUGAGACGGUAUGUUCUUAGACUAUCUAUAUCUGAAUGACUCCUAUAAUGAUCCAUCAGUUGAAUCUAUACAGAUGUUCCAUGUUAUCAAUGAAGGUCUAUCUGAAGGCAAAUCGGUUUUAUUUGUGCAACACACUGAAAUGAGAAAAUUGUAUCACUGUAUUGUCUGUUCUGUUUUUGUGUCCAUACCAUGUGAACACUAUCCUGAGGUUCCAAGAUUCACAGAAUCCGGUCAAUCCAGCCUCAAAUUCAAACCAGUGAUCGUCAUUCACAAUCCUACAUCUCCCAUAAUUGCUCUUCUUUCUUGAGCUAAUAAGUUUUAUCCAGCCAAGUCAUAUCCUAAGCCAUCCAAACAAUACUGGAUGUUUCCCAACAUCGUAGGAAGCAUCCAAAAAGACUGACUGCACCCAUCCAGUUGUCUCCUAAUAUCACAAGUUAAUAGAACAACCAAAAAAUGGUCCAGAUUUACUAAAAUCUACAAAGCGCUGUUUCACCCUGAUAACAAUGAGGUUUGAUGUAUAAACCUGAAAAUGCAAUCACUACUGUCCACUACUCUCAAAAGAUUUUUGCAAUGAGCUACACUUCUAACUUCCUCCUUAUCCAUUAUAUGAUUCUCCGCUCCAUGAAUUAUUUUUAUAAAGAAGCACACAACUGAUAAAAAGGUUUGUGCAUCAAAACUCAACAACUACUGUCCACUGCGGUCAAAAGAUUUCUGCAAUGCACUAUACUUGGAACUUCCUCCUUAUCCAAUAUGUAAUUCUGUGCUCCAUUAACUAUUUUUAUAAAGAAGCAAACAACAGAUAAAAAGUUAUGUGCAGCCGAACUCCAUAACUACUGUCCACUACUAUCAAAAGAUUUCUGCAAUGAGCUACACUUCUAACUUCCUCCUUAUCCAUUAUAUGAAUCUCUGUUCCAUGAACUGUUUUUAUAAAGAAGCACACGUGAUAAACAGUGAAGACAACCAUUGUCAACUAUCAAUUCAGAAAAUGUCCCAACAAAACUCUAAACUGAUGCAGGCAGUGAAUAGUCAGUUAUUUCACAAAUGAAUUCAUAAUCACAAAAGUAACACAAUUAUAUAUAAAAUAUUGGAUGGAUGGCUUGUAUUAUAUUUAGCCUAUGUACAGUAAAUUUAUUUGGUGCCAGCCAAAGGAGGAUGGCCUUCCCCUGCUGAGUCUGGUUCCUCCCAAGGUUUCUCCCUAUACCACUCUGCUGAUGAUGCUCUAGCACUCUGCCCAUGAUGCUCCUCUUUCCUAAUUUAGGGAGUUUUUCCUUGCCGCUGUCGCCUUCUGGCUUGCUCACUGGGGUAUAAAGGCACAAUAUUUUCAAUGUAAACUGUGUAAAGUCUUUGUAAAAAAAAUAAAAAAAUAAAUAAAUACAUGAUGGAU